RNAcentral lists this unclassified non-coding RNA (352 nucleotides) under soil metagenome. RNAcentral describes it as "partial contains 5.8S ribosomal RNA, internal transcribed spacer 2, and large subunit ribosomal RNA". The stretch from base 1 to 120 matches the Rfam family "5.8S ribosomal RNA", at positions 35 to 154 of the family's 154-position model. The record is from RNAcentral.
GAUGAAGAACGCAGCGAAAUGCGAUAAGUAAUGCGAAUUGCAGAAUCCGUGAGUCAUCGAAUCUUUGAACGCACAUUGCGCCCCUUGGUUAUUCCGAAGGGCAUGCCUGUUCGAGCGUCAUUAUCACCCCUCAAGCCCUGGCUUGGUGUUGGACUUUAGUUAUAGCUUUGCCUAUCAACUGGUCUCAAAGAUAGUGACGGCGCCCCAGAGGGGACCGGGUACGAGGAGCUUUUUACUAAGCAUGUAUCUGGGACGACUCUGGGCGACGGUCUUGUUAUACUUUUUACCUAAGUGUUGACCUCGGAUCAGGUAGGAAUACCCGCUGAACUUAAGCAUAUCAAUAAGCGGAGGA